CAAACCAUACAAUGUCUUCUAGACAUCAAAAGGCAUCGAGAAAUCUUUGUGGUGAUUCACAGAGACAUAUCAAGGACAGCUAGAAAAAAAAGAAAGAAAAAAUGCACACACCUUAAAUAUUUGGAAGAGAGAGUUUUUAGUAGUUUGGGUCUUUAAGGACCCAAAAUAGUUUGUCUUUAAGGACUCAAAAAAUGCCCAGUUUAAGCGGAGGAAGUAUGAAGCUGACCACUUUAAAACUUAUGUGAUAUCAGUUUAGUUUUCCCCAAAGUGUGGGUCCUGCAUCACUUACAAUAUAUGAGAACUAUGAAGUGCCCUUUGUUAGGGAAUCAAACAGCAAAUGCGGAAUAUAAAGGAUAGUAGGAGAGAUGAAUAACACGGCAAAAACAAUAGCAAAACGCACAAGACACGCAAGUUUAUGUGGUUCGGAGUCUCUUGCUCCUACGUCCACAGCCGCACAGAUCAAUAAUUCACUAUAUGAUCAAAGGAAGUUACAGAAAUUCAAGAGAAGAGUAACAAACUCUCUUUCUCACAGCAAACAAUCUCUCUCAAGAUGAGCAACACGUCGUCUUCCUGAUGCACACAAAGGAUCUUCCUUUUGAAACCUCUCGUUGAUGAGUUCUAGGGUUUCUCUAGGUUGCAACAUGCCUCCUCGUGUCCCUUAAGAAGUCUAUAUAUACCUCCCAAUCUCUUACUUUGAUUAGGGCUCAAAAAACCUUGGCUUGGACCCGGUUCAUAACUCAGCCUCGCGUGAAAACUGUGCUCGAGUCGACUCCCGCAAUACUGCGAGUCGACUCGGCAACAGUCCACAGAAAAAGGCCUCUCUGUCUGCCUGUGGGAGUCGACUCCUGGAGUUCUCGAGUCGACUCCAACACUGGGGAGUCGACUCCAGGUCUGCUGGAGUCGACUCCAAAAACUGUGCCAAGACUUCUUGCGUGCCAGAGUCGACUCCAAGUCUGCUGGAGUCGACUCCGGACCUUGCUGAAGGUUUCUUUCUUUGCUGAUUCAACUCCAAAUCUUCUCGAAACUCUUUCCGGCUUGUCUUCCCUUGAUCCUCCACCACCAUAGUGCACAUAGG
This 1075-nucleotide long non-coding RNA is filed under the name Phoenix dactylifera (date palm). Its description in RNAcentral is "long non-coding RNA (PDAC_LNC010365)". The record is from RNAcentral. Lineage: Eukaryota; Viridiplantae; Streptophyta; Magnoliopsida; Arecales; Arecaceae.